UCCAGAGAUGGAUUGGUGCCUUCGGGAACUGUGAGACAGGUGCUGCAUGGCUGUCGUCAGCUCGUGUUGUGAAAUGUUGGGUUAAGUCCCGCAACGAGCGCAACCCUUAUCCUUUGUUGCCAGCGGUCCGGCCGGGAACUCAAAGGAGACUGCCAGUGAUAAACUGGAGGAAGGUGGGGAUGACGUCAAGUCAUCAUGGCCCUUACGACCAGGGCUACACACGUGCUACAAUGGCAUAUACAAAGAGAAGCGACCU
This 256-nucleotide ribosomal RNA is filed under the name Klebsiella aerogenes. RNAcentral's name for it is "partial 16S ribosomal RNA". It matches the Rfam family "Bacterial small subunit ribosomal RNA", at positions 999 to 1255 of the family's 1533-position model. Lineage: Bacteria; Pseudomonadati; Pseudomonadota; Gammaproteobacteria; Enterobacterales; Enterobacteriaceae. RNAcentral also lists the same sequence under 3 other names. The record is from RNAcentral.